UCCAUUUCACAUCAAAGCUAACGGCUAGGCUGCUAGCAUCCCCUACUGCUCUCCUGCUCGUCCUGAGUUAUCUCUAUAAACAACACAGUGUGGAUUAUUGGUGACUGGUCCGUCGAGGUGCCCAGAGAGCUGCAGAGACAGAGGAAGAAACUUGAGCCUCAACAACAUCUGCAUUUGUUGGUUCUUCUGGGGUGGACUUCGGUUGCUUCUCUUCAACAACUCGCUGCGAGGGAGGUCUCCCCCGGAUGGCCUGAGUGAUGUCACCCACAUCUACACGCCUUAUUGUGAAUAACUCUUAUCCUUCAUCAAAUCAAAACUGAUGAGUCAUCAAAACAUUCACCCCCCCCCCCCCCAUACAGUGUGUGUCGAUAGAGACAUGAGCUAAUCACACCUAUUUGUUUUUUUUAACCAGGCUGUAAACAUGUUAAUCUCUGCUGUAAAAACAGACUUUUUUUGAAUGUAGUUUUUCAGAUUAAAUAAAUAUUUCUAUAUAAA
Long non-coding RNA from Labrus mixtus (cuckoo wrasse), 495 nucleotides. RefSeq lists it as uncharacterized. The record is from RefSeq and is a predicted model, not a curated record. Lineage: Eukaryota; Metazoa; Chordata; Actinopteri; Labriformes; Labridae. The transcript is spliced from 3 exons.